Molecule: long non-coding RNA, 2894 nt
Organism: Cyprinus carpio carpio
Lineage: Eukaryota; Metazoa; Chordata; Actinopteri; Cypriniformes; Cyprinidae
Source: Ensembl
UCCAGUCUUCAGUAUCACAUGAUCCUGUCAUAAAUCAUGCUUAUAUUUCGAUUUGGUGCUCAAGAAACAUUUUAUUUUCAGUACUGAAAAUAGUUUGCUGUUUUAAUGCAUCUUUAUUUCUUCAUAUGUGUAUUUCUAUGUGUAUAUAUUUAAGGAUUUAAAAAAUAUAUAUAUAUAUAUAUUUAUUCAUUUAUUUUUAAAAGAACAGAAUUUACUUGAAACAAAUAUAUAUAUAUAUAUAUAUAUAUAUAUAUAUAUAUAUAUAUAUAUAUAUAUAUACCAGGUUUGUGUAAUAAAAUAAGCUCAAUUAGGGCUUAACUGACAAGCAAUCUGAUCAUGCGUGGCGUGAGAGCGGCAUGGCUUGUCAGACAUAGCAACAAAUAAGGGAGGGCAGGUCUUUGUGAAGGGUCAAUUGGUACUCCAAAUUUUCCCAGUUGCAAUUCUGGGGGAAAAUGGGGUUUAGCUUCAACUUGCAGGCUAAAAACGGCAGCAACAGUAUAAAAAUUGCCCAAUUCUGUGGGAAAAUCACAAAUUUGGCAACAGUUUGUGGGGAACUCAGAAUCUUCGAUGGGUAAAAUUAUAUAGUGGUGAACAAAAACUACAACGACUAUAGUUUUUGCGUUCCCAUUAGCCCUAUUAACAAAUAACAUUUCAAAGGCUUUCCAAAAGAGGAAAAACAUGUCUCUCCAUAUCACCGUAUGCUGUAUAUGCUCUUCUGUGUCAACUGCGCCACAAGGAUGUUCUGUUUCUACAUGUAUUUAGCUUUGAUUUGAAACAAAAACAGCGCAUCCUUGUGGCGUGGAUGACACAGAAGAGCAUACUCAGCAUACGGUGACAUGGAGAGACACAGAGGAGACCGUUGACAAAGGAAUUAUUGAAUAAAGAUGUUAUUUUUCUUUUCUUCGCUUACAUAAAGUGUUCCUGUCGCUUCAUAUAACCCAGAUUGUGUGUCUGAUGGAAGAUGGAGUAUUCUGACGACGACUUUCAUACCUUUCAUGGACCUUGACACUGUUAUUUACUUUGCAGUCUAUGGGACAGUCACAGGCGUCCCAGUUUUCAGUCAAAAUAUCUUAAAUUGUGUUCCGAAGACGAACGGAGCUUUUACAGGUUUGGAACGACAUGGGGGAGUCAACAGCACAUCUGGGCUGCAUAGAAAGAAACGCUCAUCGUACAGCACUAAAGACCUCUGCCUCAGCAUGAUGGGUAUUACUGAAAUGAAAUGCAAUCAAAUUAAAUCACAUCAAAUGUGCUAAUGGGUUGAUAGCAAGAUCUGUGUGUGCCACAGCUUCUAAUAAAAAUGUAAUAAACAUGCAGCAGCUUUGACCUGUUUGAUUAGUCUAAAUAUGCAAUAAAGCAUGUACUUUGACUAUCAGGCACAUUGUAUAAAUUCAAAAUGUGAAAUAAUCAAUAAAUGGUCCCGAUUUUAAUAUUUUCUCUGUGUUUCACUCACAUUUACAGUAGAUUUAGUUUAAAAGUUGCAAAACUGAUUCUCUCCAGUGUUGUCACUUUAAAUAAAUUGAAUGUUUAUUGUAUACAAGAAGCUGUAAGUCAUCAAAUACGCUCUUUGCUUUGGACAGUUUACCUGUAUGAAUUGUAAAUCCAAUAUAAUUUUCAGACAGACCUUUUGCUUGAACGGUCUUAUAUCGCACACCUUUACUCAGCCAAUAUGCUAUACACUUGAACCAGAAAAAGAGAGGAAUUAUCAGACAUGGAAGAGGGUUUAGAUUAGUCCAUAAGGAGAUUCAUUUGCAUAAGCACACACACGGACUCAGCUGCUUUACUGGAACUGGCUUUGCAUGAAUAAAUGGCUGCUAUAAGAGGAGGUUAAGAAGUAUCGGAUUUGUAACUUUAUCAAAGUUCAUGCAAAAUCCCCCAAAUGCAAAUCAUUGGUCUCGUGUCGUGUCAGUUAUUUUAAUGUCGAAUAUACAUUUAAAAGCACACUAGCUUUUAAUCAACAUUCAUUAAAUCUGAUGCUCUCAAAUAAAAUAACGUUAAAUUUAACAUCAUUGCUGCCAACAUUCUUAGCUAAACAUUUUAAUAUUAAAAUUUGAAAUGUUUUUUUUUUCUUUUUUUUUUAAUAAAAUAAAAUAAAAUAGGUAAAACUCAGUCUAUAUGGGAGUAAAUGUCACUCACCUGUGCAGGAUAUAUAUGUUGUCUCUAAGACACUCCUGCAGUAUUUCACACAUGUGUGUGGCAAUUAGAGCAAAUAUAACCUCUGACAGCUCAGAAAUUGAAGAAGUUGCCCCAGGGUAUGUACAAUAUUAUCUAAAUUCCCUUUGGUGCCACCAGCAUAUAAUAUAUAUACUUCAUUUCACAAGGCAUUAAAACGUUUUCCUAAGAGAAUGGUAAUGACCUCACACACUGUGCUCUUCUAACCCUGCAGCGAGAUCGCAGAACAGAAUACUACAAGUUACUGUCUGUUAAGUAUGUAAUGAACUAUAUCACAUUAUACUGUGUUCAUAUGGCCCAUUUCUUGUCAUUGCUUUGACUUUUCCAGAUUUAUUAUUUAUUAUUUUUUUAAAUAUAGAUGGCUAAAAAUGGAAACAUUCAACAAUUCAGGUGAGACUAAGCUGUGCAUGUAUCAUUCAUAAGCAAUUCAUAGAAAUAUGAUUUGAAUGUGUUCAAGAGAGCAGUUUCCAUGCCACUGAAACCCUUUACAGUUUUUCAUUUCAACAGAAUGGCCUCAAAUUAGUUUGAUAGUGCUUUUUAUGAGGUCAGUAUGGAAAUAAUAACCGUAGCUUUGGCACAGGGAUCUAGAUGGGUAUAAGAGAGAAGAAAAUUUUGAGAUAACAUUACUCUUUUUAGAUUAAAAAGUAAAUUAAUAUAAAUUAAAUAUUUGAACUAUUAUAUUUUAAUUGAUUUUUAGUUCUAUUUAAAGACAAUUUUGCUGACAC